RNAcentral lists this ribosomal RNA (498 nucleotides) under uncultured bacterium. RNAcentral describes it as "partial 16S ribosomal RNA". It matches the Rfam family "Bacterial small subunit ribosomal RNA", at positions 28 to 507 of the family's 1533-position model. The record is from RNAcentral.
GACGAACGCUGGCGGCGUGCCUAAUACAUGCAAGUCGAACGAGAGCGACCGGUGCUUGCACUGGUCAAUCUAGUGGCGAACGGGUGAGUAACACGUGGGUAACCUGCCCAUCAGAGGGGGAUAACAUCCGGAAACGGAUGCUAAAACCGCAUAGGUCUUCGAACCGCAUGGUUUGAAGAGGAAAAGAGGCGCAAGCUUCUGCUGAUGGAUGGACCCGCGGUGCAUUAGCUAGUUGGUGAGGUAACGGCUCACCAAGGCCGUGAUGCAUAGCCGACCUGAGAGGGUGAUCGGCCACAUUGGGACUGAGACACGGCCCAAACUCCUACGGGAGGCAGCAGUAGGGAAUCUUCCGCAAUGGACGCAAGUCUGACGGAGCAACGCCGCGUGAGUGAAGAAGGUUUUCGUAUCGUAAAACUCUGUUGUUAGAGAAGAACAAGUGCUAGAGUAACUGUUAGCGCCUUGACGGUAUCUAACCAGAAAGCCACGGCUAACUACGUG